This is a long non-coding RNA of Dioscorea cayenensis subsp. rotundata (Guinea yam), 476 nucleotides long. RefSeq lists it as uncharacterized. The record is from RefSeq and is a predicted model, not a curated record. NCBI's taxonomy places the organism in Eukaryota, Viridiplantae, Streptophyta, Magnoliopsida, Dioscoreales, Dioscoreaceae. The transcript is spliced from 3 exons.
UUUUCUCUUCCACUUUCCUCCUCUAAAACCUUCAUCCUCACUUCUCAAACCCAUCAUCCCUUGGCUUAAAUCAAGAUGAAACUUGAAGAUCUCUUCUUCCUCUCUUGAGAAGUGCUUUUUCUUAGGGUUUGAGAAGCUUUGAGGAGGUGAGACUUCAAUCAAGGGGAAAGAGCCGGUAGAGGAGUAACACUAGAGGUUUUUAGCUCGCCAAGUUUCUGUUUGUUCAGUGAAGCCAUGCGGACGUGAAGUGCUUGGCAAGAGUCUAGUGCAGUGCAUUUAUUUCUUUUGGUUUGUGUAUGUAUAUUCCUGUACUUGGCAUGUAGGGUGUGAGAUCCCUAAGGUUACAUUGUUGACCGACUUAUAUAAAUCUCCUUCUUAAUUAUUCAUGUAUAUUGUUAUUGUCCAGGGUUGCCUGAGAAACCAUACCCAUAUUUUGGGACGAUUUGAUGAUUAUAUAUUUCAGGGUAUAGCUUUGC